CGCAAUGGGGGAAACCCGGAGGAAGGGACACCGCGUGUUGGAAGAAUCCUUUUGGGGGUAAAAACUCUGUCAGCUCGAAAGAAAAAAAUGAUGGUAUCUGCAGUGGAAGCAUCCGAAAUUUAUGUCCCCGCGGCCGGGGUAAGAGGUGGGCCGCGAGUUUUCUCGGGAUUUAUGGGGUAAAAAGAGUUUGUAGGGGGUUUUUUAAGUCUGAUGUUAAAGCCUGAGGCCCAACCUCGGGAAUGCAUUGGAUCGGCACAAAUUUGAGGGUGGGAGAGGCAAGCGGAAUUCCCGGUUAGGGGGAAUUGCGUUGAUUUUGGGGGGAACCCCGGUGGCGCAAGCGGUAUGCUGGGGCACUCCUGACACUGAGGAACGAAAGCUA
This 379-nucleotide ribosomal RNA is filed under the name uncultured organism. RNAcentral describes it as "partial 16S ribosomal RNA". It matches the Rfam family "Bacterial small subunit ribosomal RNA", at positions 367 to 762 of the family's 1533-position model. The record is from RNAcentral.